UGAAUGACGUGCUUGCACUGAUUUCAACAAUGAAGCGAGUGGCGAACUGGUGAGUAACACGUGGGAAAUCUGCCCAGAAGCAGGGGAUAACACUUGGAAACAGGUGCUAAUACCGUAUAACAACAAAAUCCGCAUGGAUUUUGUUUGAAAGGUGGCUUCGGCUAUCACUUCUGGAUGAUCCCGCGGCGUAUUAGUUAGUUGGUGAGGUAAAGGCCCACCAAGACGAUGAUACGUAGCCGGCCUGAGAGGGUAAUCGGCCACAUUGGGACUGAGACACGGCCCAAACUCCUACGGGAGGCAGCAGUAGGGAAUCUUCCACAAUGGACGAAAGUCUGAUGGAGCAAUGCCGCGUGAGUGAAGAAGGGUUUCGGCUCGUAAAACCCUGUUGUUAAAGAAGAACACCUUUGAGAGUAACUGUUCAGGGGUUGACGGUAUUUAACCAGAAAGCCACGGCUAACUACGUGCCAGCAGCCGCGGUAAUACGUAGGUGGCGAGCGUUGUCCGGAUUUAUUGGGCGUAAAGCGAGCGCAGGCGGUUUUUUAAGUCUGAUGUGAAAGCCUUCGGCUUAACCGGAGAAGUGCAUCGGAAACUGGGAGACUUGAGUGCAGAAGAGGACAGUGGAACUCCAUGUGUAGCGGUGGAACGCGUAGAUAUAUGGAAGAACACCAGUGGCGAAGGCGGCUGUCUAGUCUGUAACUGACGCUGAGGCUCGAAAGCAUGGGUAGCGAACAGGAUUAGAUACCCUGGUAGUCCAUGCCGUAAACGAUGAGUGCUAAGUGUUGGAGGGUUUCCGCCCUUCAGCGCCGCAGCUAACGCAUUAAGCACUCCGCCUGGGGAGUACGACCGCAAGGUUGAAACUCAAAGGAAUUGACGGGGGCCCGCACAAGCGGCGGAGCAUGUGGUUUAAUUCGAAGCUACGCGAAGAACCUUACCAGGUCUUGACAUCUUCUGCCAAUCUUAGCGAUAAGACGUUCCCUUCGGGGACAGAAUGACAGGUGGUGCAUGGUUGUCGUCAGCUCGUGUCGUGAGAUGUUGGGUUAAGUCCCGCAACGAGCGCAACCCUUAUUAUCAGUUGCCAGCAUUCAGUUGGGCACUCUGGUGAGACUGCCGGUGACAAACCGGAGGAAGGUGGGGAUGACGUCAAAUCAUCAUGCCCCUUAUGACCUGGGCUACACACGUGCUACAAUGGACGGUACAACGAGUCGCGAAGUCGU
This 1214-nucleotide ribosomal RNA is filed under the name Levilactobacillus brevis. RNAcentral describes it as "bacterial SSU rRNA". It matches the Rfam family "Bacterial small subunit ribosomal RNA", at positions 56 to 1258 of the family's 1533-position model. Lineage: Bacteria; Bacillati; Bacillota; Bacilli; Lactobacillales; Lactobacillaceae. The record is from RNAcentral.